Long non-coding RNA from Rosa rugosa (rugosa rose), 1816 nucleotides. RefSeq lists it as uncharacterized. The transcript has 10 exons. The record is from RefSeq and is a predicted model, not a curated record. NCBI's taxonomy places the organism in Eukaryota, Viridiplantae, Streptophyta, Magnoliopsida, Rosales, Rosaceae.
AAUUAUACUAUAUACUAAAGCCCGGUUACUGUUACUACUGUUCAUAAGAGACCGAAAAGACGGUUCUGCCCUCAUUUGGAUUUUUUUUACGCCUCUGCCACUGACCUUCUCUCUUCCUCCAGACGCCUCUAAGACCGACUGUUUUUGCUCUCUCUUUUCUUCCUCCUGCUUUCUAAACAGCCUCCUUCACUCCCUCAGACGACUACAGCGUGCCGUGCUUGGAUGGUUCAUGUAUAAUUACACCGACAUCGACUCUUCCAGACUCUCAAAGUCAGCUACUUCGGAAAUCAGAUCCCACCAUCGAGUCUACUAUAUGGGUCAGCUACUUGCGAAAUCAAAUCGAGACUGCAGAUUUGGGCAAAUCUGGGAGUCUUAAUCAGUUGUUUGCGAAUCUUGGAGCAGAACACUGCAGUAGUGUCUACAACAUUUGAAUGGGUAGGAUAACUUUGAGAAAGUUCAAAGCCUAUUGAAAAGUUCUUUUUGUAAAACUGGGACCAGAGUAACCAUAUACAACACUGGAUGUUGCUGACAUAUAAACGUAAGAUUUAUGGAAAAGUUUGAGUAUUGUGUCGCAAAGCGUUGUUAACUUUUAGACUAUGGAUUUGGGCAAAUCUGGGCGUGUUAGUCAAUUUGUGUUUGCAAAUCUUGGACCACCACAGUGUAAUACCGUCUACAGCAAUCAAACAAGAAGAGGCGUGUGGUUCUUCUUCCGGAAACUCCAAGCUACUUCCAAAGAAUCAGCUUCUUUUUGAGUUGGAGCUUGAAGGCUGCAUAUAUUCGAGAAGUUGGAAUGACGUUCGGAGACUCAAGGAUUCUGCUCUGAGGGGUGUUGGAAAAGCCAGAUAAGACAUCAGCAACGUUCCUGUCAUUUAUAGAAAAUUUUGGCAAGAGGGUGGAGUUGGAUAGCACCAUUAAAUAUGAUGAUGCUUAAGUACCAUGCAGCUCUCUCUAUGAUAGCUUCUAAAACAUCCUAUGAGAAUAAUGCCAAUGCCUACAUUAACACUACUGUUAGGGAUCAUUGGAAGACUGAAAAAAAAAAAAACCCACUACACAAGCCUUUAUGCUUCAGAAUAAGUGUUCUGACCAUGACACCGUUGUUGUGGCCUUUAAGGGAACCGAACCGCUUGAUGCAGAUGCUAUGCUCCGACUUUGUAUCUCUUGGUAUGAGCUUUCAGGGUGGAAGCGUCACAAGAUUGACGAAGACUGAGGCUUUGCUGCACAAGUUGUUCAUUGACACAAGACCAGCAAAACCAACAAAGGAAGAAAAGAAUUCAACCUUCAAACUUUCAAUCAUGUUUCCCUUUGUGAGUUUCCUCUCUAAACUAUUCUGUUUCUAUGACUAAUAAAAAUUAACCUCUUAUAUAAUAAUGCCAUUAUUACUAAUUCCUGAAAUAUUUUGCGGGAUUGCGCACACAACUCCAUUCACUGCAAACAAAAAAGUAUCUCAUGCUUGAUCUUAAUGAAGCUUAGAAAAAGCAUAUAUAGGUGGGAAAGGUCCAAUACUGAUGGUUGGAGAUAGAAUGCUCUUUUGAUCCUCCCAGAUAUUCAUUUCAUAAGGUGUUGGUGUGUCAUGCUUUGCUGAGCAUUUGAUACCUAAUAAGCAACACACCAAACGAACAAUAUGACCAGCCAACAAAUAUCACAGUAAAGAAAAAGAAAAAAAUGAAAACCAAAAGAAGAACACACCCAACCAAUCCUAAACCCUAUACUGUCCCUUCCUUGGUAAGUUUUCUUUGCAAGCUAUUUUACUGCUAUGAUUGAUAAGAAUUUAUUCUACUACUACACGACUUUGUUCAUAUUAAAAAAAAUACCAUCA